ACUUCUGUAGCCCAAUUGGUAGAGGCGCGAGUCUUAGAAACUCGUUAGUGCUGGUUCGACCCCAGUCAGAAGUA
Molecule: transfer RNA, 74 nt
Filed under: Romeriopsis navalis LEGE 11480
Lineage: Bacteria; Bacillati; Cyanobacteriota; Cyanophyceae; Leptolyngbyales; Leptolyngbyaceae
Rfam family: tRNA
About the family: Transfer RNA (tRNA) molecules are approximately 80 nucleotides in length. Their secondary structure includes four short double-helical elements and three loops (D, anti-codon, and T loops).
Source: Rfam by way of RNAcentral